This 73-nucleotide transfer RNA is filed under the name Clostridium sp. AF32-12BH. RNAcentral describes it as "tRNA-Lys". It matches the Rfam family "tRNA". From Rfam's summary of the family: Transfer RNA (tRNA) molecules are approximately 80 nucleotides in length. Lineage: Bacteria; Bacillati; Bacillota; Clostridia; Eubacteriales; Clostridiaceae. The record is from RNAcentral.
CAUAUGGUAGCUCAACUGGGUAGAGCCCUCGACAUUUAAUCGAGUUGCGCAGGUUCGAUUCCUGUCCAUAUAA